This 749-nucleotide non-coding RNA is filed under the name Mileewa albovittata. Lineage: Eukaryota; Metazoa; Arthropoda; Insecta; Hemiptera; Cicadellidae. The record is from RNAcentral.
AAGAGUUUGAUUCUUGCUCAAAGGUUAAUUAAUUAAAUGUUUUUAUAUGUUUAUUAAUAUAAAAUUUAUUUUUAGGCAGUAAUUAAAAUUAAAAUUUAUUUAAAAAUUUUAUUUAGUAAUUUAAUUUAAAUUGAUUAAUAUUGUGCCAGCAUUCGCGGUUAAACAAUAAAUUUAAGUUAAUAUUUAUAGGUAAUAUAAUUUAAUUUUAUUUUUAGAAUUACAAAUAUUAAUAUUUAAGUGGAAUUUAUAUUAAUUUAAAUUUUUAUUUUAUAAAUUUGUGAAAUCUUUAGCUUAAACUAGGAUUAGAUACCCUAUUAUUUUAGAUUUAAAUAUAAAUCCUGAAUAUUAAUAGUUAUGUUCUUUAAAACUCAAAGAAUUUGGCGGUGAUUUAUUUCUUUUUAGAGGAACCUGUACUUUAAUUGAUAAACCACGAUAAUUUAUACCUUUAUUUCAAUUUGUAUAUCUCUAUGGAAUUAGAAUAUUUUAAUAGAAUAUUUUCUUUAACUUUAAAAGUUUAAUAUUAGGUCAAGGUGCAGUUUUGUAAAGGAUAGAUAUGGGUUACUUUAUUAAAUAAAAUUUUGGAUUAAAUUAAAAUUAAAGUUUAAGUAAAAAGGAUUUAAUAGUAAUUUUAAUUUAUUAAUUAAAUUGAAUUUUAGCUCUAUAUUGUGUACAUAUCGCCCGUCACUCCUAAUUUAUAUUAGGAUAAGUCGUAACAUAGUAGUUGUACCGGAAGGUGUAUCUAGAAUUAU